GAACAUUUAGUUUAUAAAAAACAUAUAUUUUGAAAGUAUAAAAAAAGAAAAAUUCUCUUAAUGUUCG
Molecule: transfer RNA, 67 nt
Filed under: Carcinus maenas (green crab)
Lineage: Eukaryota; Metazoa; Arthropoda; Malacostraca; Decapoda; Carcinidae
Description: tRNA-Ser
Source: RNAcentral